AGUGAACGCUGGCGGUAGGCCUAACACAUGCAAGUCGAACGGCAGCACAGUAAGAGCUUGCUCUUACGGGUGGCGAGUGGCGGACGGGUGAGGAAUACAUCGUAAUCUACUUUUUCGUGGGGGAUAACGUAGGGAAACUUACGCUAAUACCGCAUACGACCUACGGGUGAAAGCAGGGGAUCUUCGGACCUUGCGCGAUUGAAUGAGCCGAUGUCGGAUUAGCUAGUUGGCGGGGUAAAGGCCCACCAAGGCGACGAUCCGUAGCUGGUCUGAGAGGAUGAUCAGCCACACUGGAACUGAGACACGGUCCAGACUCCUACGGGAGGCAGCAGUGGGGAAUAUUGGACAAUGGGCGCAAGCCUGAUCCAGCCAUACCGCGUGGGUGAAGAAGGCCUUCGGGUUGUAAAGCCCUUUUGUUGGGAAAGAAAAGCAGCAGGUUAAUACCCCGCUGUUCUGACGGUACCCAAAGAAUAAGCACCGACUAACUUCGUG
Molecule: ribosomal RNA, 492 nt
Filed under: uncultured bacterium
Lineage: Bacteria
Description: partial 16S ribosomal RNA
Rfam family: Bacterial small subunit ribosomal RNA
Source: RNAcentral